UACGAGUGCCCCAAGCGUUAUCCGGAAUUAUUGGGCGUAAAGGGUGUGUAGGUGGCGAUGUUAGUCUUCUGUCAAAUUCUUCGGCUUAACCGGGGGUCUGCAGGGGAAACGGCAUUGCUCGAGUGUGCAAGGGGUGAAUGGAACUCAUGGAGUAGGGGUGAAAUUCGUAGAUAUUCGCAAGAACACCAGUGGCGAAGGCGGCUCACUGGCCCGAUACUGACGCUGAGGCACGAAAGCGUGGGGAGCAAACAGG
This 253-nucleotide ribosomal RNA is filed under the name uncultured bacterium. RNAcentral describes it as "partial 16S ribosomal RNA". It matches the Rfam family "Bacterial small subunit ribosomal RNA", at positions 524 to 776 of the family's 1533-position model. The record is from RNAcentral.